RNAcentral lists this ribosomal RNA (1798 nucleotides) under Electra bellula. RNAcentral's name for it is "SSU rRNA". It matches the Rfam family "Eukaryotic small subunit ribosomal RNA". The record is from RNAcentral. Lineage: Eukaryota; Metazoa; Bryozoa; Gymnolaemata; Cheilostomatida; Electridae.
UGUCUCAAAGAUUAAGCCUGCAUGUCUAAGUACAAGCCGUGUACACGGGGAGACUGCGGACGGUUCAUUAAAUCGGUUAUGAAUCCACUGGGGACAGACUCACCCGGGGAUAACGUGCGGUAACUCCGGUGCUAAUACAUGCAACAAGGCUCCGACCCCGUCCUCGGGCGGGGGAAGGGCGCACUUAUUAGGCGAAAACCAAUCGCUCGCUCGCGGGCGUUGGUGGACGACACCCGAGUAAUUGUCGCCGAUCGCAUGGCCUCCGAGCCGGCGACACCUUCACUGAGUUUCUGAUCUAUCAUGCUGACGACGGUUGGUGCUAUGCCAACCGUGGCGUUAACGGAUAACAGAGAAUCUGGGUUCGAUUCCGGAGAGGGAGCCUAUUAAACGGCUACCCCAUCUAAGGAAGGCAGCAGGCACGAAAAUUACCCAAUCCCAACUCGGGGAGGUAGUGACAAGAAAUAACGAUACGGGGUCUUUAUAGGUCUCGCAAGUGGAAUGAGUACAAUUUAAAUCCUUUAACGAGGAUCAAUUGGAGGGCAAGUCUGGUGCCAGCAGCCGCGGUAAUUCCAGCUCCAAUAGCGUAUAUUAAAGUUGUUGCAGUUAAAAAGCUCGUAGUUGGAUUUCGGAAUGGGCCAGUUGGUCCGCCGCAAGGGGAGUUACUGACUGGUCUGUUCUUCUUCGCAAAGACUGCGUGUGCGCUUCACUGUGUGUGCGUAGGAUUUACGACGUUUACUUUGAAAAAAUUAGAGUGUUCAAAGCAGGCUAUCGCUUGAAUACAUGAGCAUGGAAUAAUGGAAUAGGACUUUGGGCCUAUUUUGUUGGUUUCUAAGACCGAAGUAAUGAUUAACAGGGACAAUUGGGGGCAUCCCGUAUUUCGUUGUCACAGGUGAAAUUCUUGGAUUUACGUAAGACGAACUACUGCGAAAGCAUUUGCCAAGAAUGUUUUCAUUAAUCAAGAACGAAAGUCAGAGUGUGCGAAAGCGAUCAGAUACCGCCGUAGUUCUGACCGUAAACGAUGCCGACUGGCAAUUGGGCGCACUUCUGUCGAAGUUGCCGCCAGCAGUAUUCACCAGGAAACCAAAGUCAUUGGGUUCCGGGGGGAGUAUGGGUGCAAAGCUGAAACUAAAGGAAUUCACGGAAGGGCACCACCAGGAGUGGAUCCUCCGGCUUAAUUUGACUCAACACGGGAAACCUUACCCGGGCCGAACACUGGUAUGACAGACAGGGUGAGAGCUCUUUCUUGAUUCAAUGGGUGGUGGUGCAUGGCCGUUCUUAAUUCGUGGAGCGAUCUGUCUGGUUAAUUUCGAUAACCAACGAAACUUUUGCCUGCUAAAUAAACGGGGCCGGCCUUGCGUCGGCGACCGUUCGCUUUUUAAAGGGACAAGCGGCUUUUAGCCCCGUGAACCCGAAAGCAAUAACAGGUCUGUGAUGCAAGUACGGCGCCGCACGCGCGCUACACUGUUUGCAUCAGCGUGUUACUCCCGCGCCGAUGGGCGUGGGCAACCCGUUGAACCGCAAACGUGCUAGGGAUCGGAGAUUGCAAUUGUUCUCCGUGAACGAGGAAUUCCUUGUACUGGCGAGUCAUCAGCUCGCGGGGAAUCUGUCCCUGCCCUUUGUACACACCGCCCGUCGCUACUACCGAUUGAGUGGUUUAGUGAGGCUCACGGACUGCGCGCGGCAAACGACGUCUUCGGGCGCCGCGCCGCUGGGCUGAAAGUGAGACCAACUUGAUCACUUCUAGGAAGUAAAAGUCGCAACAAGGUUUUCGUAGGUGAACCUGCGGAAGGAUCANNCC